UACGUAGGGUGCAAGCGUUGUCCGGAAUUAUUGGGCGUAAAGAGUUCGUAGGCGGUUUGUCGCGUCCGUUGUGAAAGCUUGGGGCUCAACCCCAAGCCUGCAGUGGAUACGGGCAGACUAGAGGUAGGUAGGGGAGAAUGGAAUUCCCGGUGUAGCGGUGAAAUGCGCAGAUAUCGGGAGGAACACCGGUGGCGAAGGCGGUUCUCUGGGCCUUACCUGACGCUGAGGAGCGAAAGCGUGGGGAGCGAACAGG
This 253-nucleotide ribosomal RNA is filed under the name uncultured bacterium. Its description in RNAcentral is "partial 16S ribosomal RNA". It matches the Rfam family "Bacterial small subunit ribosomal RNA", at positions 524 to 776 of the family's 1533-position model. The record is from RNAcentral.